AUUGAACGCUGGCGGCAGGCCUAACACAUGCAAGUCGAACGGUAGCACAGAGAGCUUGCUCUCGGGUGACGAGUGGCGGACGGGUGAGUAAGGUCUGGGGAUCUGCCCGAUAGAGGGGGAUAACCACUGGAAACGGUGGCUAAUACCGCAUAACGUCGCAAGACCAAAGAGGGGGACCUUCGGGCCUCUCACUAUCGGAUGAACCCAGAUGGGAUUAGCUAGUAGGCGGGGUAAUGGCCCACCUAGGCGACGAUCCCUAGCUGGUCUGAGAGGAUGACCAGCCACACUGGAACUGAGACACGGUCCAGACUCCUACGGGAGGCAGCAGUGGGGAAUAUUGCACAAUGGGCGCAAGCCUGAUGCAGCCAUGCCGCGUGUAUGAAGAAGGCCUUCGGGUUGUAAAGUACUUUCAGCGGGGAGGAAGGCGACGCGGUUAAUAACCGCGUCGAUUGACGUUACCCGCAGAAGAAGCACCGGCUAACUCCGUGCCAGCCGCCGCCGUAA
This 504-nucleotide ribosomal RNA is filed under the name uncultured bacterium. RNAcentral's name for it is "partial 16S ribosomal RNA". It matches the Rfam family "Bacterial small subunit ribosomal RNA", at positions 29 to 523 of the family's 1533-position model. The record is from RNAcentral.